GGCAAAUCCACAGAGACAGAAUGUAGACUAGGGGUUGCCAGGGGCUGAGCGAUGGAGGGGUGCGAAGUAGCUGCUAACUAGGGUUUCGCUGGCUCGGAUCCUGACCUAGGAGGGCUCAUCAAGUUAUGCUGAGGCGGCGUCCCACACGGCAGAACCAGAAGGACCUACAACUAGAAUAUACGACCAGAGUUUGUGACUCAUUGAAUAUCGCCUGCCCAAACAUACGCUGAGCUCCCAGGUAUGUCCCGGAAGUGGAAGGGUGGGGGUUGAUGGGGUGUCAUUGGUAACCCAAACAGCAGAUAUAAUCCCUGACCUCAGUUCUUCCUUGCUUCUUUUCCUCC
Molecule: long non-coding RNA, 341 nt
Organism: Equus quagga
Lineage: Eukaryota; Metazoa; Chordata; Mammalia; Perissodactyla; Equidae
Exons: 3
Source: RefSeq, a predicted model, not a curated record